This 1005-nucleotide long non-coding RNA is filed under the name Capra hircus (goat). RNAcentral's name for it is "lncRNA (ENSCHIG00010006966.1)". The record is from RNAcentral. Lineage: Eukaryota; Metazoa; Chordata; Mammalia; Artiodactyla; Bovidae.
AUGUGUAUCAAAGGAACAUCAUUCAUCAAAUUUUGCAAGCCUUUGAAUAAGGGCCAUUGCAAAAUAAUAGGGAGGGGAAAAAAAUCAACACAGAACUAUUCAUCAUGUUAUUUAAAAAAAGCAAACUUAAACCAGGUUUGGCAAAACGUCCAAGCUUUAAACAUCAUUUCAGAGUUGACCCUAGUGUCCAAGGGGUUAAAUUUCUUUAAUUUCCCAAGUCUUUGGACCCCAAGACCCCCAUUCAGCUGCAUUUGUCCCUAAAGUACAAUAAGAAAAAAGCUAAUUUUAUUCAUUAACUUGCUCUUUAUCAGCAGUAUCACAAGGAAUGCUCAGCCCUGGGGGCCCACUGGAGUCACUUGGGGAGCUUCUAAAAAUCUCUUUGCUCCUGGCCACAUCCCAGACCAAGAACAUCAGAUCUCUAAUGAAGCUUGUGAAUCCUAAAUGUCUCCCUUAAAAUGAGGCCCUUGCUUUAGAAUAUGGAGAUAGCUACUGUCCAGCGCUCUGACUGAAGGGGUGAUGAAUUGGGAGAGAACUCUUAACUUGUUGAAGAUCUUCUGAUGCCAGCCUUGUCCCAGCUACUUAACAGUCCUACAAGACAGGUAUUACUGCGUUCACUUUGUAGAGGACACAAAUGCCAGUCAGGAGGGUGGAGUGACUUGUUCAAGGCGGCAAAGUGGGAAUGUGGAGGCAGGCUUCACUCUUUCCUCCUCAGGAGAGAGGAGAGAGACAAGAGUCGCUGUGACAUCCUCUGCCUGCUCCCUCCUGUGUAAGGCAACGCCUCUCUGUCCUUCCACCUGGACCCCUGUGCCCAGCUUGGAAACAGUUCAUGACCUGCUCCACUUCUGAGGCCUCUGUAGCUAAAGGUCAAGGUCAGCACUCCUCUCCCAUCCCUACGCCCCCAGGACUCUCAGAUAGAUGGCAGGUGACACGGGCCCUGCUGGCUUCUCCCUGAGACUCUCUUCAGGCAUCCUCUUCCUUUCUGUGAUCUGACCAGUAUCAGCCACU